GUCUGAUCCUGGCUCAGAUUGAACGCUGGCGGCAUGCCUAACACAUGCAAGUCGAACGGUAACGACGGGAGCUUGCUCCCGGGCGACGAGUGGCGGACGGGUGAGUAACGCGUAGGAAUUUACCCAGUAGUGGGGGACAACUCGGGGAAACUCGAGCUAAUACCGCAUACGCCCUACGGGGGAAAGCGGGGGAUCUUCGGACCUCGCGCUAUUGGAUGAGCCUGCGUCGGAUUAGCUUGUUGGUAGGGUAAUGGCCUACCAAGGCGACGAUCCGUAGCUGGUCUGAGAGGACGAUCAGCCACACUGGGACUGAGACACGGCCCAGACUCCUACGGGAGGCAGCAGUGGGGAAUAUUGGACAAUGGGGGCAACCCUGAUCCAGCAAUGACGCGUGUGUGAAGAAGGCCUGCGGGUUGUAAAGCACUUUCAGAAGGGAUACCUUCAGAAGAAGCACCGGCUAAUUCCGUGCCAGCAGCCGCGGUAAUACGGAAGGUGCAAGCGUUAAUCGGAAUUACUGGGCGUAAAGCGCGCGUAGGCGGUUUGGUGAGUCAGAUGUGAAAGCCCUGGGCUUAACCUGGGAACUGCAUUUGAUACUGCCAGGCUAGAGUAUGGUAGAGGGAAGUGGAAUUCCGGGUGUAGCGGUGAAAUGCGUAGAUAUCCGGAGGAACACCAGUGGCGAAGGCGGCUUCCUGGACCAAUACUGACGCUCAGGCGCGAAAGCGUGGGUAGCAAACAGGAUUAGAUACCCUGGUAGUCCACGCUGUAAACGAUGUCAACUAGCUGUUGGGUCCAUUUAAGGGCUUAGUGGCGCAGCUAACGCGAUAAGUUGACCGCCUGGGGAGUACGGCCGCAAGGUUAAAACUAAAAGGAAUUGACGGGGGCCCGCACAAGCGGUGGAGCAUGUGGUUUAAUUCGAUGCAACGCGAAGAACCUUACCAGCCCUUGACAUCCUCGGAACUUGGCAGAGAUGCCUUGGUGCCUUCGGGAACCGAGUGACAGGUGCUGCAUGGCUGUCGUCAGCUCGUGUCGUGAGAUGUUGGGUUAAGUCCCGUAACGAGCGCAACCCUUGUCCUUAGUUGCCAGCAUUUCGGAUGGGAACUCUAAGGAGACUGCCGGUGACAAACCGGAGGAAGGUGGGGAUGACGUCAAGUCAUCAUGGCCCUUAUGGGCUGGGCUACACACGUGCUACAAUGGUCGGCACAGAGGGCUGCGAACCCGCGAGGGGGAGCUAAUCCCAGAAAACCGAUCGUAGUCCGGAUUGCAGUCUGCAACUCGACUGCAUGAAGUCGGAAUCGCUAGUAAUCGCGGAUCAGAACGCCGCGGUGAAUACGUUCCCGGGCCUUGUACACACCGCCCGUCACACCAUGGGAGUGGGUUGCACCAGAAGUGGUUAGUCUAACCUUCGGGAGGACGAUCACCACGGUGUGAUUCAUGACUGGGGUGAAGUCU
Molecule: ribosomal RNA, 1449 nt
Filed under: metagenome
Description: bacterial SSU rRNA
Rfam family: Bacterial small subunit ribosomal RNA
Source: RNAcentral